RNAcentral lists this ribosomal RNA (491 nucleotides) under uncultured bacterium. Its description in RNAcentral is "bacterial SSU rRNA". It matches the Rfam family "Bacterial small subunit ribosomal RNA", at positions 29 to 507 of the family's 1533-position model. The record is from RNAcentral.
AUGAACGCUAGCUACAGGCUUAACACAUGCAAGUCGAGGGGCAGCAUGAACAUAGCUUGCUAUGUUUGAUGGCGACCGGCGCACGGGUGAGUAACACGUAUCCAACCUGGCCGUUACUCGGGAAUAGCCUUCCGAAAGGAAGAUUAAUGCUCGAUGGUAUAUAUUUAUCGCAUGAUUUCUAUAUUAAAGAUUUAUCGGUAGCGGAUGGGGAUGCGUUCCAUUAGAUAGUUGGCGGGGUAACGGCCCACCAAGUCUUCGAUGGAUAGGGGUUCUGAGAGGAAGGUCCCCCCACACUGGAACUGAGACACGGUCCAGACUCCUACGGGAGGCAGCAGUGAGGAAUAUUGGUCAAUGGACGCAAGUCUGAACCAGCCAAGUAGCGUGAAGGAUGACUGCCUUAUGGGUUGUAAACUUCUUUUAUACGGGAAUAAAAGACAUUACGUGUAGUGUUUUGCAUGUACCGUUAUGAAUAAGCAUCGGCUAAUUCCGUG